RNAcentral lists this ribosomal RNA (300 nucleotides) under uncultured Desulfurococcus sp. RNAcentral's name for it is "bacterial SSU rRNA". The stretch from base 52 to 300 matches the Rfam family "Bacterial small subunit ribosomal RNA", at positions 547 to 795 of the family's 1533-position model. The record is from RNAcentral. Lineage: Archaea; Thermoproteati; Thermoproteota; Thermoprotei; Desulfurococcales; Desulfurococcaceae.
UGUAGCUGGGGGGCGGAAGCGGCGGUAGUGAGGAGGGGGGCGUCGUUGUUCGGAAUUAUGGUGCGUAGAGGGCGCUGAGGCGGUGCGUUAAGUGACCGGUGAAAUCUCCGGGUGCAACGGUGAGCUUGCAGGCGAAACUGCCGUGCUGGAGUGUGGGAGAGGUGCGUGGAAUUCCCGGUGUAGCGGUGAAAUGCGUAGAGAUCGGGAGGAACACCUGUGGCGAAAGCGGCGCACUGGACCACAACUGACGCUGAGGCGCGAAAGCUAGGGGAGCAAACAGGAUUAGAUACCCCUGUAGUC